UAGGGAAUCUUCCGCAAUGGGCGAAAGCCUGACGGAGCAACGCCGCGUGAGUGAUGAAGGUCUUCGGAUCGUAAAACUCUGUUAUUAGGGAAGAACAAAUGUGUAAGUAACUAUGCACGUCUUGACGGUACCUAAUCAGAAAGCCACGGCUAACUACGUGCCAGCAGCCGCGGUAAUACGUAGGUGGCAAGCGUUAUCCGGAAUUAUUGGGCGUAAAGCGCGCGUAGGCGGUUUUUUAAGUCUGAUGUGAAAGCCCACGGCUCAACCGUGGAGGGUCAUUGGAAACUGGAAAACUUGAGUGCAGAAGAGGAAAGUGGAAUUCCAUGUGUAGCGGUGAAAUGCGCAGAGAUAUGGAGGAACACCAGUGGCGAAGGCGACUUUCUGGUCUGUAACUGUCGCUGAUGUGCGAAAGCGUGGGGAUCAAACAGG
This 429-nucleotide ribosomal RNA is filed under the name Actinomycetes bacterium. RNAcentral describes it as "Actinobacteria bacterium partial 16S ribosomal RNA". It matches the Rfam family "Bacterial small subunit ribosomal RNA", at positions 355 to 776 of the family's 1533-position model. The record is from RNAcentral. Lineage: Bacteria; Bacillati; Actinomycetota; Actinomycetes.